AUUGAACGCUGGCGGCAGGCUUAACACAUGCAAGUCGAACGAUGAAGAUAUAGCUUGCUAUAUCGGAUUAGUGGCGGACGGGUGAGUAACACCUAGGAAUCUACCUUUUAGCGGGGGAUAGCUCGGGGAAACUCGAAUUAAUACCGCAUAAUUUCUACGGAAUAAAGAGGGCUUUUAGCUCUCACUAGAAGAUGAGCCUAAGUAAGGUUAGCUAGUUGGUGGGGUAAAAGCCUACCAAGGCGACGAUCUUUAGCUGGUCUGAGAGGAUGAUCAGCCACACUGGGACUGAGACACGGCCCAGACUCCUACGGGAGGCAGCAGUGGGGAAUAUUGGACAAUGGGGGCAACCCUGAUCCAGCCAUGCCGCGUGUGUGAAGAAGGCCUUUUGGUUGUAAAGCACUUUAAGCAGUGAAGAAGACCUAUUGGUUAAUACCCAAUAGCGAUGACAUUAACUGCAGAAUAAGCACCGGCUAACUCUGUGCCAGCAGCCGCGGUAAUACAGAGGGUGCAAGCGUUAAUCGGAAUUACUGGGCGUAAAGCGAGCGUAGGUGGUUAAAUAAGUCAGAUGUGAAAGCCCUGGGCUCAACCUAGGAACGGCAACUGAAACUAUUUAACUAGAGUAGGUGAGAGGGAAGUAGAAUUUCAGGUGUAGCGGUGAAAUGCGUAGAGAUCUGAAGGAAUACCGAUGGCGAAGGCAGCUUCCUGGCAUCAUACUGACACUGAGGCUCGAAAGCGUGGGUAGCAAACAGG
This 750-nucleotide ribosomal RNA is filed under the name uncultured bacterium. Its description in RNAcentral is "bacterial SSU rRNA". It matches the Rfam family "Bacterial small subunit ribosomal RNA", at positions 28 to 776 of the family's 1533-position model. The record is from RNAcentral.